Non-coding RNA from Caretta caretta (loggerhead turtle), 2475 nucleotides. Lineage: Eukaryota; Metazoa; Chordata; Testudines; Cheloniidae. The record is from RefSeq and is a predicted model, not a curated record.
GUCACCUCCACAGAUGCUACUUAGCAACCUCAGAGGGGUAGAACUAACUGCAGUCUAGGUCCUACUGACAAGCGAUGGACUGAGCUGACGUGGAAUGGCUCCUGCAUUCACAGGCCUCGAGGAUCCCUUCCCCGGGAAUCCCCAGCCUCUGUUGGGUUGAGAUCAGAGGGACUGCUCACAAAUGUCAGGGAAACAAAGACGUGGACAUUGAUAUGAACUUCCUCUAUAUUGAUGGGUUCAGCAUAAGAUCAUCUGAAAAUACGCUUUCUGCGGCUGCUGCCGCUUAAAGGACAGUGACACAUUGUGUGGAUGUGGAUUCACCUGUGAUCAGCAGCAAAUGGAACAGGUGUGAUCAGAUCAUUGACUGAUUUUUGCCUCUCUGCUGAGGGAUUUGGGAAAGCUGCCUCUCUGCUGUGCCAAGCAGUGUCCCAUGCUAUACAAAACAUGCUGCUUCUGGUGUGAAUAACUGAGUUUGGCGGCUUAGAAUUGAAUCCAGUUUAAAAUGAGUGAAUACUUCUGAGAAACAUCUGUGAUACUCACCCAUCUGUAGAGUAGACCACAUUACCAUACAAGCACAGCACGGUAAAGUUCAAAAUGCUGCCUCAGUGUUCAGACAGAGUCACCAAAGCCCUCAAAUUCCAUCUAGGAGUUUAGGAGAAUGACAGAACACUGGAGGUGGGUAGAGUGCAUCCAUGAGCUCCAUCAAGGGUUGCGCAUCACUGCACCUGGAAAAUCCCCCCAAUGUCAAUGCCAUUGUUUUUGGUCAUUAACCCCACAAUCCAGAUGAACAUGUAAGCCUUUAUUUAAAUGUCAGCAUGGGAAUGGUCCCAUUGUAACAAGUGGGACCCUCUCCUGUGCUUAAAGUUAAGCACGUGCUUAAAUGCUUUGCUAUAUCGAGGUGUAAGCUGAGAUUGAAGGGCUGCACUUUUGGAUAAGGUUGUGCUAAAUAGCUAGAAAUCUAGCCUCUAGUAGUUCACUAGGGGAUUAUAUCCAUUGCUGGGAACCCAAUUCACAGGUGUCUGCUCACUCUGAUGUCUGUUGCCUCCAUCCAUUCACGGUGGUCGUUUGUGUUGCUGAUGGUUGUCUGCUGGAGAUAUGCCCAGCCGGGAGGGUUUGCCUUGGCUGAUUUUGUCUCUGUGUAAGGUGCAGACGGCAUGAAAUGUAUUACCUUGAUUGAUUUUAAAACUUGCCAUAUGGGAGUUGUGGCUUUCUCUUUAGUUUGUCACUUCCAGGGAGAGAGGAAAACCGCAAGAAAGAUGCUGUGCUAGCCAAGGCAAUGUACCAAAUCCUGACUGAAGAUAAAGGGAUCAGUGGCAUGUUUGAGCAGGAACAAUAUGUCUUGGCAUCACUUCUUGACCCUUGCUUCAGAACCAGAUGGAAAACAUUCUCUUGCCAGACUUUGAUAUGGAGAACAGGCAAGUCAUUUUGCUAGUGAAAUGGCAGAUGUGUCGGAGUCAAUCGACUUAGAAACCUCACAGCAUGUGCCUCCUUCUGACAAAAGUAGGGAGUGCUGGGAACUGUAGUGAGCCAAGAAACAAUAGCAGUAAUAAUAGAUGAGUCUGUUCUGCAAAUAAGGCAGAUUCCUAAUGACAUGCCACAACACCUGUUCUGUCUCUAAUGUGCUGGGCCAACAUUCGUUGCCAUGGAUUGCUGGAAAGCGGAUUCGAGGUGCUAUGAAUCACCCUCAGAAGCCGAUUGGUACUCUGUAGUGUCAUGUUGUGGUAUUUUCAUUGCUGACAUCUGACUGUGGUGAUAUUUCAUCUCAUUCAUCUUGUAGCACUGCUCUUGGUUCCAAACAUGUCAUCCAUCCCCAGUACUGUGUAUACAGGGAUCUGGACAUCAGACUUCUAUAGAGUGUAAUCUACCACCACCUCUCACAUCACAGAGGUCCCCAUGUGCAGUCGGGCUAGACAUGAUUCUGGCGCAUGUAGGGAGGAGAGAGGACCAUAUAUAGGGGGUGCAUACUUUGCAGUGCAUAUAGCUUGGCUCUUAGGAGCUUCCAAAUUGCUGUUGCAAAGAAUGUGUUAGGGAGUGGGCCAGGGCCAAGCAGAAAAGAGACAGACAUCAAACAGGGCUAGAGGAUCCACAGCUAUGGGAGUUCCCUAUCCUUCCCCCAGUCAGAUGGAUAUGGGAAGGAGUUAGGGGCUUACUCCACCAACAUAACCUCUAUUUGAUUUACUUUGGUUCUGAAAUUUAUCUAGCCUCUUUAAAACAAGUUCCAAAACCCUGUGUAACAAAGGGUUAAUGGAUACAAUUAUUCCAUGUGUGAGGCGGGAGAUGGAAGAGUAGUUGAACCUAUGAAUCUAUGAUGUAGAUGAUGUAAUAUGAUGUGAUGAAUCUACUGUAGAUGCUUUACACAACUUUUAUAGGAUAAGAACAUUGAUUGAAAAUCAUUUGAUUCCUUAUAGGGUAAUUAAACUACAGGGAGUCCUCGGACUUAUGACACAAUUCGUUCCUCAGAAUUGCGUUGUAAGU